This is a long non-coding RNA of Canis lupus familiaris (dog), 9205 nucleotides long. RefSeq lists it as uncharacterized. Lineage: Eukaryota; Metazoa; Chordata; Mammalia; Carnivora; Canidae. The record is from RefSeq and is a predicted model, not a curated record. The transcript has 5 exons.
CAUUGGCGCGGGACGGCCGCAAAUGUGUGCGGAUCAGAGGUGGCAAUGUCCCUAUCUCUAGUCUGUGCUGCUUUGUUGUAGAAAUGAUGGUCAUGUUCUGAGGGUCGCGUGAGAAGGCUUGAGGUUGCUAAAUGUGCUCUAUACAUAGAAAAAUCACAGAUGCCUUUUUUCCUCCCAAUUUUUAUUUAAAUCCGUUAAUGUAGAGUGUAAUAUUAGUUUCAGGUAUCAAAUUCAGUGAUUCCACAUUUCCGUACUUCACCCGGUGCUCAUCAUAACGAGCACAAUCCUUAAUCCCUAUUACCUGUUUCACCCAUCUCCCUACCCACAGCCCCUCCAGUCACCAUUAGUUUGUCUUCUAUAGUUAAGAGUCUGUUUCUUGGUUUCUCUCUCUCUUUUCCACCCCCCCACCCCCACAUUUGUUUGGUUUCUUAAAUGCAACGAUGAUGUGGCAAACACACACACACACACACACACACACAUUGGAAUAUUACUCAGCCAUAAAAAUGAAAGAAAUCUUGCCACUCACAAUUUUUAUGAGAAGCUGUUUAAGGGACACUAUCCUUCCUAGGAAUGCCACAGAGAUCCAAGGCUUUAAAAGUCUAGAAUAAAAUAAAAUCUGUUGCGAACCUUACUAUAUUGGUGAACGGCCUAAUUUUGAGUUGUCUGGCUGAGGUGCCCCUAUUCCUGGGAGGGAGUAGUGUUGAUCUGGAAGCUGUGGUUUAGUGUGAAGUCCCGUCCCGUGAAUUCCUUUAGGAGGAGUAUAAGCUUUUUGCCCUGGAGUUAAGAUUUUGGACUAGAAGGAUAACAGCUCUUCACAAACAUGAUCACUGCUGCACGCUUGCUCUUGACUUCUACUCCUCACAACCUGGUCAGGCCAACCUCUGAUUCCCUGCGGGAGCUAUCCGCCCUAGCUAUGCAGAUGAGACGAGGCUAAGUCCCCUCGAGCUGCCCGCAGAGUACGCUGGACUCUGCACCUUCUUUCACCUCAGCAUCCUCAGGUCCUCGAAGGCAGGGAGGAAGCCUCCUAGGUGUGUGCGUUCCUAGGGUUUCACAUUUGGUACUUUUUGGAUGUACUUACCUCCUCGAGUUUUCAAGAGUUGCUCAAAUGUAAAGACUAGAUUUGAAUUUGUUGAUAGAUUUUUUUUUAAAGAUUUUAUUUAUUCAUGAGAAACACACAGAGAGGCGAGAGACACAGGCAGAGGGAGAAGCAGGCUUCAUGGAGGGAGCCGGAUGGGGGACUUGAUCCCAGGUCUCCAGGAUCACACCCUGGGCCAAAGGCACACACUAAACCACUGAGCCACUGGGGCUGCCCUUGUUGAUAGAUUUCUAAAGCCGGAGCAAAAGCUCCCUUUCACUGUGAUAUCGGCAAAUUCUAUUACCUCUCUGUUUUUAGUAGACAAAUAGCAGAAUUCUCAUGAUUUUCCCAUUUUCUAGACCCAGCUCGCCCAUGCUCCUCCCUUCCUCUCCAUUACCUCUCUACUGCUGAAUUAAUGAGAGGUGAGCCAAGAAGUGCGAGUUAUAGAGUUAAAGGUGACUGAUGCCACGUGAAUUUCAGCCUCAAUGGCAACGGGGCAGCCGGGUGUAAUACACGGCAGUGUAGACUGUCCCCUGCUGGCUUCAUUCAGAACUGCAGAAAGCCUUGGUCUAACCCGCUCUGUGUCACAUUAACAGAAGAAACAGCUUUUCACAAACCUAGAAGCUGAGCCCCUUGGAAAUCCAAAGACUCAGAAUGUUAGUGUCCCCCUCUCCAGAGCUGUACGUUUUAUUUUGGUAAAUCCCUUAGCAUCACCGGGGUUGGUUGUGUUGCUUUAGAAAUUGAAUGGUAUUUCUGCUUCACAACUGUGCCAAAUCCAAGGCACUUGAUAAAGCUGUCCUUUGAAAAGUCACACUUACCCUAGAAGCCAGAGCAGGGGUGCCGUGCACACUGAGAGAGACAGGGGUGGCCUGUGCUGGGGAAAGGGUGCUGGGCUUAGCUAGGGGAGGACAGCCUUGGAUUCCUGGCUUCUUCCUCAGCCUGGGUUUAACUUGUGAAAAAUAGGGUAGUUUGACUAGAUGAUUUCUAAGGACCCUUCCAGCUUUGUGUCUGUUGUAGGCAGCAUCAUCCCUGCCUUCUAAGAGUGUAUAAUCCAGGUAGCACGUUUACCUGAACCACCAGUGGUCAUGGUAGUAAAGCACGUGCAUGGCCUGGAGGGGCUGGUUGCAUGAAGUGGUCUGACAUGAUGGAUGGUUGACCAUCUCUGUGACUGGACUUGAGUGCUUGCAUGUGGGCAUACACACACACACACACACACACACACACACACACACCACAUGCUUCCUCUCAGAUCACUGCCCCCAUAGAGUCAUCUUUGUUGAGGUCACCUGGGCACCCAGCACUUCUUGGCAAUUCCUGUGUUUAUUCUUGGCAAUUCCUGUGUUUAUUCCUACACAGCUUUCCUGUCUAUUGAGCACAAGAGUUUUUCAAAGCUUCCCUCCUCUAGUCCUGUGAAUCUGCCACCUGCUACCACACUCCUGGUGGACGAAUUUGCCUCCCUCCUGCUUCACAGAGAAAGACAGAAGCUGUUGGUAAAGAGCUCCCCUGCCCUGCCAGCCUCUCAUGGCUAGCCUGCUCCUGUUAGUAUUUAACUUACUCAUGCUGCCAAAAAAACAAAAAACAAAAUGAAAACCAAGCCUCUCCCAGGAUGCCACAUUCCCAUUCUGUAUCUCCUGGUUCCCCUCUUUCAUGGCCAAAUUUCUUGAAAGCAGUGUCUACAUUCACUGUCUCCUCCCCCUUCCCCCCAGUCACCCCCUGCUCCACUGAGUCUGGCUUCUUCCUUCCUCUCCACUCCACUGGAACUGUCACAACUAAUGAUCAUGUUGCUAAAGCCAGUGGACAAUUUAUCAUGUCUUAUCUUCUCGGGGCUAGACGGUUCUGCUGUCCCUCAGUGAACCUCUCUCUUCCCUGGACUACCACUACACUGGAUGCUUCUGGUUUCUCUUCUCCCUCUUUGGAUGCUUAUUUCCAGUGUUUGGGUCCCUGCCAACUUUGUUUUUCCUUUGGGUUCUGUCCUAGAUACUUUUCUGUUUUGCUCCAUGCACUCUCCUGUUAAAAGGAGAUGGGAACAGAGUAAAGGAAGAAAGAGCAGAGAGGGAAGUGUCUUGGAUAAGUUGGCUAUAUAAAGACAAAGUGGAGGGAAGUUGGUCCUGCUUCCAGUUCAGAACUGUAGGUGGAGUAGUGGUGGUAGUUGCAGGGGACCUUUAGUGGGUUGGAUGGAACAGUGUAAGAAUAGAGAAAAGCACUGGUUGGCAUGCCUGAGUCCCAUCAGCUCCUGUGUGGCAUGGGGAGCUGGGGCUCAGACAUGCAUGCACAUCCUCGGGGGCAUGUAGGCUGAAUCUUCUAGAUGGCUGCCAAGGUGGGGGUGGUGAUGGGACCCUGUAGAUGAACAUGGCUAGGGUGAGCUGCCUGGAGAAGGGAUGGGGUGAGAAUUGCAUUGUAAUUGUGACAAGGGAGUCCCAAGAGGCUGGGCCCAUAGCACCAGCAAGGACUGAGCUGGGGUGUAUCAGAAAGAGCUGGUCAAUAGAAAUGCCUUUCAAGAGAAAUGCCUAUGCUAGAGGGAAUGUCUCAUUUUCCAGCUGGAUACAAGGGGCAGAGCCAGACCACCUUGCUACAUGAAACAAAGGGAUGCAUCGUCAGUGCCCAUAGCACCAUCCAGAACUAAGCUGGGGUGAUUCCAAAAGAGCAGGUCAAUCGAAAUGCCUUUCAAGAGCAAUGCCAAUGCUGGAGGGCAAGUCUCAUUUUCCAGUGGGAUACAAGGGACAGAGCCAGACCACAUUGCUAAGUGAAACACAGGGAUGCACUGCCAGUGCCCAAUCCAAGGUGGAGAUCAGUUGAAGGAUGGCAAGGCCUCCACUCUCUCUAUGGGUGUUUGCAUGUUUUCAUGGCAUGGUCAUUGGCUUCCCCCAAAAUGGGUGAUCCAGGAGAGAUCACAUGUGUCUGAUGACCUAAACUUGGACGUUAUAUACUGUGAUUUCUAUUGGUUGCACGUACAGGCCCUGCUUGCUGUGAAAUGGGAGUACAGAAGGGCAUCAGUGCCUCUCCACGCCCUGACACCCUCUUGGAUAGGGGUAAGGGAGUGGGAGAACAUAGGAAAUCUUAUACAUCUCCAGAAGUCAUCCAAAAGAGCUCAUUUAAUUGGACAGAGAUUGUUGCAACAUAGAUCAUCGAAUUGAAAGUUUACUUGUCCCUAUUCUCAGGGAAUUGUGGGGUCAUGACAAUAUCCAAGUAGUUACAGAGGAUGAACAAUUCACAUUUUCUUUGCACACUUGAUUAUGAAGUGAGAAAUUUAUAAAUUUUACAAGAAACUUGAAGGGGUCUCUAAAAUACUUGAAAAUGAACUCAUAAUGGUGAUAAACAUAGUCUGUGAAAAAACCCUAUAAAAUGUGAUAUUGAAUACACUUUGUGUGUUUGAUUUCAACCACUGAAAACUAUAUGCAGUUGGGUGAAAACCAAGAUAAAAAAGCACAAGGAGCUGAAACUACCUUUGUGAUAUGCACAUGGGUAGACUUUUACAAAGUUUGUAUUUACUAUUAAUAAAAUGAAUUUAUUCAUUAGUCAAUUAUGAUUUGUUUUAAGUGAUAAGUAAAAAUCGAGUUUUUCAUUUUGUUUUCUGGUGGGGCAUCCCACUGAGCGCUGCCUUUUUCUUUCACUGGAAUGAGUGUUUCCAUUGGAAAACCACCCAGAAUAUAAUUUUCUGUAGCCAUUGCCUUAAAAACACCUUUCUUAAAAAACAUACAACUGACAUACCAUUUCCUUCUGCUCUGAAAAAUCGUAGAAGUUUUAGGUGCACCACAGGCACCUAAAUAGAAAGUAUAGUAUGAUGUCAUUUGUGUACAAUAGUCAGAUGUCUCCACCCUACCUGUCCCCUCUCUGUUCCCAAUUUCCUAUGUUCUACACUCCCUUGUGUUUCAGUAAACUUAUUUCUUUUGUAAAAUGUUUACUAUGAAAUGUAUUAUUUAUCUAUUGCUGCAUAAAAAAUUACCCUGAUGCUUAGUGGCUUUAAACAAUGGCGAUGUAUGUACUGUCUGACACUGAUUUGGGGGAAGGUAGGAGGUGUCAGGGAUUUGGGAGCGGUUUAACUUGAAAUUGCUCUUGAGGUUGUAAUCAAGGCCUGGGUCAGUUCUGUAGUUGUCAGAAAGCUUUGUGCAGGCGGCGGAAGACCCAGCCUCUGUCCCCUGCCAAAUCCAUGGCUUUUCCCACAUUUUAGAUUUUUGUUACAGUAACGUCCCACUACCAAGUUCCGCAGUCUGUUAGUUACCUAUGGCUGCAUGACUGCAUAACAAGUCACCCCCAAAAGUUAGAUGCUUAAAACAACAAUUUCAAGAUGCCUCACUUGAACUGUUUGUUGGGUGGAGUCCUUAGUUGCUUGCUCUAUGGAAACCCCUCUAGGGAUGUUUGCAUGGCAUAGUCAUUGGCUUCCCCUCAAAUAAGUGAUGCAGGAGAGCUCAAGGGAAAUCUCAAAUGUCUUUGAUGACCUAGUCUUGGAAGUCAUAUGCUGUGAUUUCUAUUGGUUACACACACAGGCCGUGCUCGCUGUGAAAUGGGAGUACACUAGGGCAUGAGUACACAGGGCAUGUAUUAGUUCACUAGUACACCAGGAAGUGAGGAGCAUUGGGGCCAUCUUGGAGACUGGCCACCACAGUUCACCCUCUGGCCUCCAAUGACUCAUGUCCUUCCCACAUGCAAACUAUACUCAUCUCUUCUCAGGGUCCCCUAAGUGUUUCGUCCCAUUGAAGUAUCUCCUGAAAAACACCCCAGAAUCUCAUUAUCCAAAUUAGGCCCAAAUGUGGGGCUCCUCAGGUCCAGUUCCUCACAAUCUGAAGAUCUGUGAAGUAAAGAGAAAAGUUAUUUGCCUCUCACACACCCAACAUUCAAUGGUGGGGCAGCAGGCACAAGAUAACUGCUACAUUCCUGUCCAACAAGCAAGGGGAAGGGGGCUAUAUAGGGGUCACUGGUCCACAGCAACUCUGGAAUCCAUCGGGAUACAUUUUAAAAAUUACUUUAAAAGGACUCAGUCUUACUCCUGCCUUGGAAUGAGUCUCUUUGCAUUUUGGCUUUGCUGUCUGGCCCUUAUUUCUACCUGAAUCAUCCUUCCUUUCCCAUGAGAGGCAGCCUAUGCUUGCAACCAAGUAGUUUCCCAGUCUUCCUGUCUGUAGAUGUUUGAGGUCCAAAGUCUACUUUUCAUUUUGAACUGUCUCUGCCCCUUUCAGUCCAAGCUGGUGGUGUUUCUGCCAUGGUGAUUCUCUCAAGGUUUUUGUGGGUGUCCUGCCAUAGUGGGUUUGUUCCUUUGGACGAAAGCCACACCCACAAAUCUCUUCCAGAUAAGACUUUAUCUCCACUUAGGCUGCCAGUGAUGGAGACAUCUGAAAGGCGACAUCUUCCUUUGUCCUUUGAAGUCUCAGACUGUGCGGGGCCGAAGAGGUCUUUGAGGUCCUAACAAAGGAUUUUUCGGUUCCACUAUCAGCUUCAUCCUUAGACCACAUUUUCUUGAAAGGGCCCUGGAUUUGAUCUUUGCCUAGACGCCAUUUCUUAAUUUUAGUAUGCUUUGUCAUUAGGGGAAACUGGAGAUUUUCAAAUGCAACCAUUUCUGGAUCUUUCCUAUUUAAUAGUCCCUCCUCUGGCUUAUCUCUGCCCUGUUGCAUCUUAGUAUGAGCAGUUAGAAAGAAGCCAAUGCACCUUCAGAAUUCAGUUAUGUCACCCAGCUCGUGAGGUACAUUUAUGUGCUACAUGCUCUGUAGAUGACAGUGCUGAUAAACUUUCUGCCACUACACAACCUCUUGUUUCCAAUAAUAGCCCCCUCUACUUCCUUGAAGCCCUCACAGGCAGCCUCCUCAGAUGUCACAGUUUUUGCUAACAGUUUUCUCCAAGUCCUCUAGGCUCUCUUUAGCCCUCCUCAAAGUCCUCCCGGCUGCUGUCAGCUGCCAAGCACACAGCUUGGCAGGGUUCUGUUUUAGUAGUGCUUCACUUCCACUGUCCCAGAUCUAUUAGUUAUCCACUGCUGCAUAACAAACCACCCCAACACUUAGAUGUUUAAGGCGACAAUGACCAUUUAUUAUCUCCACCCAUUUUCUGUGGGUUGGGAAUGAGGGGAUGACUUAGCUGCUGGUCCUGCCUCAGGGUCUCUCAUCUCGUGGAGUGGCAGGUAAAAUGUCAGCUGGACUUGCAGUCAUUUGAAGGCUUUCCCAGGACCAGCAGACCCAAUUGCAAGAUGUCUCACUCACAUGGCUGGCAAGUUGUUGCUGGCAGUAGGCAGGAGGCCUUGAUUCCUUACUGCAUGGAUCCCUCGGUAAGGCUGUUUGAGGUUCCUUACAACAUGACUGCUGGCUUCUCUCAGAAUGGAAGUCAGAAUAUUCUGUGUUUUUGCAAUGGGUCCCCUGUCAAUAAAAACAUUUUAGAAACAGAAUAUGGAGCUGCCAAUACUGAAAAUGGCUGAGAACAUAAUGCAAAACAAUGCUACCAAUGAAAAAAUGCAAAAUACCUGCUUGAAGGAAUCAGAGUUUACAGAAUAGCAAAAUGUUAUCCCAAAUACACACAGUAAGCCAAAGGAUCAAGAGACCAACUCGAAUUGUCAGAUUCCAGGAGUCAUAUUCUUACUGGUUUACUGCACUUCUUUUGGAUGGCAACUAAUGUCUUCAGAAUAGAACAGCCUCCUAUUGCUAAGGACCCAGAAAAUGAGGAUAUCUGAAGAUCAAAGAAAAUAUGGAUAAAAUGGAGUUUUUGAAUGAGUGGUGAGAUUUUUCAGCUUCCUGAUGACAGUUUCAGUGACAUAAGUUCCUUUAGCACUGGACACAUAUGGGAUUUGAAUUUUCAAGGUGGUAGAAGUGUAGCAGGUUUCAAGAUAAUACAAGGGUGGAUAGAAAAAUGAAGAUUGAAAAUAGCAAGAAUUUCUGUGAGGUGGUUCCACUUGUUGAGAAAUGUUAAGUUUUUCCAGUGAGUGACAAAGUCUAUAUACCAUGAAAGACCUUACACUCAAAGGGGUAAAAUUUAAGUUGGUUAAUGCUUCCACAUACUUAGGUGAUGCUGCUACUGCUCUGAAACAAGGCAGACUUGCCUAUGCCACCAGUGAAAAGUUAUAAUAAGUUGUUGGUCUCUACAGUGCCCAUGAAGCUGAGUCAAAACUCCAAGGGUUUGUCUAGAAUUUUUGUGCACCAACAAGUGGACGUAUUAUAAUAACCAGGUUUUGUCUCUUUGACAGACAGCUGAGUCUGAGCGGUGGUCACAUUGGCAUUGGAGUCUGUGCCCAGUGCUUUAGAAAUAUGCUGAACAAUCUGUUUUGGAAUUUUCCAGGUGCUUCAUCAGUUCUCUGCUUACAGGAGUAAAGACUGUAGUCAAUCUUUACAGGUUCAUGGUCACGCACUACCCAUAAGAAAGAUUGUCUAUUUUGACAGCCCUAUUGAACUAAUUAGCCAUUCCAUGGAACCACAGUCCUAGAUCACUUCAACAGCAUGAUCACUGUCAGCCUUUCCCAUGGAGGAUUUUGUCUUUCAGGGACCUGCCAGCAUGAGACUACUUGAUAUGUGUGGCAAUCAGGGUUUUAAUGCUAGGACUAUUCUGGAUUUCUCAAUAUAUUUUUUAUCUUCUUUAUGCUUAGGAAAGUCUUUCAUGAUGCCUCUUAAUUUUGACCUAGCCCGUGGGUUAAAAUCUACUUGUAUAGACUCCCUGUUCAGUGGUUUUGCUCUAAGAGACAGUGACUCAAGAGACUUAAGGGAUGUUGAGGUAGAAAGGGGAGACAGAGCAGAAGGUAGAGGAAAGUACAGAGGAAAGAAAAGGGUUUGGGCAGACAAAAUGAGCAAGAGCAGUACCUGACCUAAUCAAGGAAUCUCUUGUUUAGGAAUAACAGGUGUUUUUGUUGUUGUUGUUGGUGGUGGUGGUGGGUUUUUCUUUUUUUAAAGUAGGCUCCCUGCCCAGUGUGGAGCCCAGUCUGGGGCUUGAACUCAAACCUGAGAUCAAAACCUGAGGUCAAGAAGCAGAUACUUAACUGAUUGAGCCACCCAGGUGGCCCAAAGAUAUAGGUUUUGAUACUAAUUCCAAGGGAUACACACACCAUUAUGUUUAUAGCAGCAUUAUCUACAAUAGCUAAGAUAUGGAAGCAGCCCAAGUGUCCAUUGAUUGAUGAAUGGAUAAAGAGGAGGUGGCAAUAUAUGUACACACUCACACACACACACACAC